UCCGGAGUAGCUCAAUGGUGGAGCAAGAUGCUGUUAACAUCGAGGUUGCCGGUUCGAGCCCGGCCUCCGGAGCCA
RNAcentral lists this transfer RNA (75 nucleotides) under bacterium. Its description in RNAcentral is "tRNA-Asn". It matches the Rfam family "tRNA". Rfam says of the family: Transfer RNA (tRNA) molecules are approximately 80 nucleotides in length. Their secondary structure includes four short double-helical elements and three loops (D, anti-codon, and T loops). Further hydrogen bonds mediate the characteristic L-shaped molecular structure. tRNAs have two regions of fundamental functional importance: the anti-codon, which is responsible for specific mRNA codon recognition, and the 3' end, to which the tRNAs corresponding amino acid is attached (by aminoacyl-tRNA synthetases). tRNAs cope with the degeneracy of the genetic code in two manners: having more than one tRNA (with a specific anti-codon) for a particular amino acid; and 'wobble' base-pairing, i.e. permitting non-standard base-pairing at the 3rd anti-codon position. The record is from RNAcentral.